This 892-nucleotide ribosomal RNA is filed under the name Leuconostoc citreum. Its description in RNAcentral is "bacterial SSU rRNA". It matches the Rfam family "Bacterial small subunit ribosomal RNA", at positions 1 to 872 of the family's 1533-position model. The record is from RNAcentral. Lineage: Bacteria; Bacillati; Bacillota; Bacilli; Lactobacillales; Lactobacillaceae.
ACCGUUUUAGUGUAUAUUUUUUUUUCUCGUCAGAUGAACGCUGGCGGCGUGCUAAUACAUGCAAGUCGAACGCGCAGCGAGAGGUGCUUGCACCUUUCAAGCGAGUGGCGAACGGGUGAGUAACACGUGGAUAACGUGCCUCAAGGCUGGGGAUAACAUUUGGAAACAGAUGCUAAUACCGAAUAAAACUUAGUAUCGCAUGAUAUCAAGUUAAAAGGCGCUACGGCGUCACCUAGAGAUGGAUCCGCGGUGCAUUAGUUAGUUGGUGGGGUAAAGGCUUACCAAGACGAUGAUGCAUAGCCGAGUUGAGAGACUGAUCGGCCACAUUGGGACUGAGACACGGCCCAAACUCCUACGGGAGGCUGCAGUAGGGAAUCUUCCACAAUGGGCGCAAGCCUGAUGGAGCAACGCCGCGUGUGUGAUGAAGGCUUUCGGGUCGUAAAGCACUGUUGUAUGGGAAGAAAUGCUAAAAUAGGGAAUGAUUUUAGUUUGACGGUACCAUACCAGAAAGGGACGGCUAAAUACGUGCCAGCAGCCGCGGUAAUACGUAUGUCCCGAGCGUUAUCCGGAUUUAUUGGGCGUAAAGCGAGCGCAGACGGUUGAUUAAGUCUGAUGUGAAAGCCCGGAGCUCAACUCCGGAAUGGCAUUGGAAACUGGUUAACUUGAGUGUUGUAGAGGUAAGUGGAACUCCAUGUGUAGCGGUGGAAUGCGUAGAUAUAUGGAAGAACACCAGUGGCGAAGGCGGCUUACUGGACAACAACUGACGUUGAGGCUCGAAAGUGUGGGUAGCAAACAGGAUUAGAUACCCUGGUAGUCCACACCGUAAACGAUGAAUACUAGGUGUUAGGAGGUUUCCGCCUCUUAGUGCCGAAGCUAACGCAUAAGUAUCCGC